UACGUAGGGUGCAAGCGUUGUCCGGAUUUAUUGGGCGUAAAGAGCGUGUAGGCGGCCAGGUAGGUCAGCUGUGAAAACUCGAGGCUCAACCUCGAGACGCCGGUUGAAACCAUCUGGCUAGAGUCCGGAAGAGGAGAGUGGAAUUCCUGGUGUAGCGGUGAAAUGCGCAGAUAUCAGGAAGAACACCAGUGGCUAAGGCGGCCCGCUAGGACGGCACUGACGCUGAGACGCGAAAGCGUGGGGAGCGAACAGG
RNAcentral lists this ribosomal RNA (253 nucleotides) under uncultured bacterium. RNAcentral's name for it is "partial 16S ribosomal RNA". It matches the Rfam family "Bacterial small subunit ribosomal RNA", at positions 524 to 776 of the family's 1533-position model. The record is from RNAcentral.